This 902-nucleotide ribosomal RNA is filed under the name Truncatella laurocerasi. RNAcentral describes it as "LSU rRNA". It matches the Rfam family "Eukaryotic large subunit ribosomal RNA", at positions 37 to 964 of the family's 3401-position model. The record is from RNAcentral. Lineage: Eukaryota; Fungi; Ascomycota; Sordariomycetes; Amphisphaeriales; Sporocadaceae.
UACAUAUCAAUAAGCGGAGGAAAAGAAACCAACAGGGAUUGCCUUAGUAACGGCGAGUGAAGCGGCAAUAGCUCAAAUUUGAAAUCUGGCGCUUGCGUCCGAGUUGUAAUUUGCAGAGGAUGAUUUUGGUUAGGUACCUUCCGAGUUCCUUGGAACAGGACGCCUUAGAGGGUGAGAGCCCCGUACGGUUGGAUGCCGAGCCUUUGUAAAUCUCCUUCGACGAGUCGAGUAGUUUGGGAAUGCUGCUCUAAAUGGGAGGUAAAUUUCUUCUAAAGCUAAAUACCGGCCAGAGACCGAUAGCGCACAAGUAGAGUGAUCGAAAGAUGAAAAGCACUUUGAAAAGAGGGUUAAAUAGCACGUGAAAUUGUUGAAAGGGAAGGAUUUAUGACCAGACUUUUUCUAGGAGGAUCAUCCGGUGUUCUCACCGGUGCACUUCUUCUAGUCUAGGCCAGCAUCGACUUUCGGCGGUGGAUAAAAGCUUUGGGAAUGUGACUCCUUUCGGGGAGUGUUAUAGCCUAUUGUAUAAUACACUGCUGGGGGUCGAGGUACGCGCUUCUGCAAGGAUGCUGGCGUAAUGGUUAUCAAUCACCCGUCUUGAAACACGGACCAAGGAGUCGAACAUUUGUGCAAGUGUUUGGGUGUUAAACCCUCACGCGUAAUGAAAGUGAACGGAGGUGAGAGCCCUUACGGGUGCAUCAUCGACCGAUCCUGAUGUUUUCGGAUGGAUUUGAGUAAGAGCAUAACUGUUCGGACCCGAAAGAUGGUGAACUAUGCGUGGAUAGGGUGAAGCCAGAGGAAACUCUGGUGGAGGCUCGCAGCGGUUCUGACGUGCAAAUCGAUCGUCAAAUCUGCGCAUGGGGGCGAAAGACUAAUCAAACCAUCUAGUAGCUGGUACCCGCGAU